Molecule: ribosomal RNA, 253 nt
Filed under: uncultured bacterium
Lineage: Bacteria
Description: partial 16S ribosomal RNA
Rfam family: Bacterial small subunit ribosomal RNA
Source: RNAcentral
UACGAAGGGUGCAAGCGUUGCUCGGAAUGACUGGGCGUAAAGGGCGCGUAGGCGGCUUGGUUCGUUAGGCGUGAAAUUCCUGGGCUUAACCUGGGGACUGCGUUUAAUACAGCCAGGCUUGAGUGUGGAAGAGGGUCGUGGAAUUCCCAGUGUAGAGGUGAAAUGCGUAGAUAUUGGGAAGAACACCGGUGGCGAAGGCGGCGACCUGGUCCAGUACUGACGCUGAUGCGCGAAAGCGUGGGGAGCAAACAGG